RNAcentral lists this ribosomal RNA (710 nucleotides) under Acarospora chrysops. RNAcentral's name for it is "partial large subunit ribosomal RNA". It matches the Rfam family "Eukaryotic large subunit ribosomal RNA", at positions 138 to 866 of the family's 3401-position model. Lineage: Eukaryota; Fungi; Ascomycota; Lecanoromycetes; Acarosporales; Acarosporaceae. The record is from RNAcentral.
CCGAGUUGUAAUUUGCAGAGGAUGCUUCGGGUUCGGUUCUGGUCUAAGUUCCUUGGAACAGGACGUCAUAGAGGGUGAGAAUCCCGUAUGUGACCGGCCGCCACGCCCGUGUGAAGCUCCUUCGACGAGUCGAGUUGUUUGGGAAUGCAGCUCAAAAUGGGUGGUAAAUUUCAUCUAAAGCUAAAUAUUGGCCAGAGACCGAUAGCGCACAAGUAGAGUGAUCGAAAGAUGAAAAGCACUUUGGAAAGAGAGUCAAACAGUACGUGAAAUUGUUGAAAGGGAAGCGCUUGCAACCAGACUUGCCCGCGGGUGAUCAACCGGUAUUCUUACCGGUGCACUCGCCCGUGGUCAGGCCAGCAUCGGUUCGGGCGGCUGGAUAAAGUCCACUGGAAUGUAGCUCCUCUCGGGGAGUGUUAUAGCCAGCGGUGCCAUGCAGCCCGCCCGGACCGAGGACCGCGCUUCGGCUAGGAUGCUGGCGUAAUGGUUGUAAGCGACCCGUCUUGAAACACGGACCAAGGAGUCUAACAUCUAUGCGAGUGUUUGGGUGUCAAACCCAUGCGCGUAAUGAAAGUGAACGGAGGUGGGAACCCUUUGGGGUGCACCAUCGACCGAUCCUGAUGUCUUCGGAUGGAUUUGAGUAAGAGCAUAGCUGUUGGGACCCGAAAGAUGGUGAACUAUGCCUGAAUAGGGUGAAGCCAGAGGAAACUCUG